CCAGACUCCUACGGGAGGCAGCAGUAAGGGAUAUUGGUCAAUGGGGGAAACCCUGAACCAGCAACGCCGCGUGAGGGAAGACGGUUUUCGGAUUGUAAACCUCUGUCCUCUGUGAAGAUGAUGACGGUAGCAGAGGAGGAAGCUCCGGCUAACUACGUGCCAGCAGCCGCGGUAAUACGUAGGGAGCGAGCGUUGUCCGGAUUUACUGGGUGUAAAGGGUGCGUAGGCGGCUUGGCAAGCCUGAUGUGAAAGCCCGCGGCCCAACCGCGGGACUGCAUUGGGAACUACCGGGCUGGAGUGCCGGAGAGGUAGGCGGAAUUCCUAGUGUAGCGGUGAAAUGCGUAGAUAUUAGGAGGAACACCAGUGGCGAAGGCGGCCUACUGGACGGUGACUGACGCUGAGGCUCGAAAGCGUGGGGAGCAAACAGGAUUAGAUACCCGUGUAGUA
RNAcentral lists this ribosomal RNA (447 nucleotides) under uncultured bacterium. Its description in RNAcentral is "bacterial SSU rRNA". It matches the Rfam family "Bacterial small subunit ribosomal RNA", at positions 331 to 795 of the family's 1533-position model. The record is from RNAcentral.